GUGACGGAUUUUGCAAUUCUCUCUUUUAUUGCAGUUCUAUUUUGUUUUCAAAGAGAUGAUUGCUAAUAAAAGUAAAGACGACGAAUAUCUUGAAAAUGUUUGACAAUGUUUAUUAAGUAUUCCGUCAGGAGUGAUCAGUAAGAAAAGAAUAAGCGAGUCCUGCAAACGGACGAAAGUCCCACCGACCCGACUCUAUGCGCUCACGGCCGAUGAAGACUUCAUCCGGACGCAUCGCUCGCUCGGAAGAGCGUCGUUGCCUCAUCAUUGAAUCUGAGAUGCGACGAUCCAGUGAUAUUGAGUCACUCGAUUACUUCUGAGAACCCUUAUUCUGGCUCACAAAACUAGAAGUCAGGGCUCUGCUUUGAACGCAGACAAUCUUGAACCGCGUGCAAAGCUGAGGAAAGCUGAGGAAAACUGAGGAAAACUGAAGUCUGCAAACGUGCAAUCGCGAUUCGGCACGAUCACUUGGAGGAGGAUUUCCUAGCGCUGGGUCAUCGCAUCCUCCUAUCGUAAAUGGAAGAAGGAGGAGGAGGUUGACGCAUCGCGACCUCCUCAAGGUCCUCAAGAGUUGAAUUUGCGUGGAACACAUGCUACUGCCCGACGAUGCCCCGCUGCUGAACGGGGAUUUGGACGUGAAUGAACAGCUAACUUGCGCGCAGAAUAUUCGCAAGGCGCCGAUAGUUCCAGUAGGAAUAGUAAUUUACACAUUAGCAGAACAAACUACAAACUUUGUGACAUCCAAGCAAACAUUACGUCAUCUUAAAGAAUUAUAUGUUUAAAUCCGUUGCUGAGCGUUCGCUCGUUACCGGUCUAUCGUAUCAGGCCGAGCCGACGUCACGGCGAGCGAAGGUAUUCCGGACGUCGCCGUCGCGGGUCCGUCGGUUAACCUGGCCCAGAAACCGAGCCGGAACUGUCGGUGGAAUCAAUGACCUUGGCGCGCGAGCUCUACUCGUGGCCAUCGGCCUCGAGAAGAAAGUUUCAGCACAUCGGAAGCUUUCAAAAACAGUGACGACGACGUCGACGACGAAGCACAUUUAUUUUAAUUUCAGUUAAAGUUUAGUUAAUUUCAGUUUUAAUUAAACUGGUUUUUAGAACUUUAUUCACACAUAUUCAACAUGACAUAAAUUUCAUUUUGAAACGGUAUAAAAUAAAUUUGAUUAACCACUGAAUCCUGCUUAAAAUUGAUAUUUCAAAGAUAAAGUUUUAUUCGGUGUUUUUUAAAUUGACACUUUGGGAACUUUGUUGUAUUGAAAUGUCCUGAAAUUCUUCGAUAAUGUUUGCACGCGCGAUUAACGCUGGUGUUUCAUGAAGACUUAGUUUAUUAAAGUCAAAACGACUUUAGCGACUCUUUAUAGACACUUGUAUUAGCGGGAACGUAUGAAAUUACGCUCCUCAAGUAAAAUAAGAUCAUGUUAAAGUGAGAUUUGGUUCUCGCGUGAUGUGAAAUAAAAUCAUGUUAAAAUUGCGCGUUUGGUUGACGCACCAUGUCCGGCAUGCGUGACGUAUGUCAAGUUACCGCAAGAAUGCGAAUUUCCAUCGGUGUCGCUAUUCGCUAUGAGAUCGCAUUUAGAGAUCCAGGCCAGUUCCGCCUCCUCCUCGAAAUACGCCAUGCGUCGUCCUGUUCCGUAAUUUCUCUCUUUGGCAGCGUCACAGUAUUUACGCAAACGCGAAUUCCAAACUUUCUUAACACUAUUGACAUUACAAACAUCAAUGUUACAUUCAUGAAAGUCACUUGAUUUUCAUUAAUUAUCAAUAAAUCUCAAUACAUGCACAACCUAAUCUAAAAUUAUUUAAAA
Linepithema humile (Argentine ant) is the source of this 1796-nucleotide non-coding RNA. The record is from RefSeq and is a predicted model, not a curated record. NCBI's taxonomy places the organism in Eukaryota, Metazoa, Arthropoda, Insecta, Hymenoptera, Formicidae.